This 174-nucleotide ribosomal RNA is filed under the name uncultured bacterium. RNAcentral's name for it is "partial 16S ribosomal RNA". It matches the Rfam family "Bacterial small subunit ribosomal RNA", at positions 1320 to 1500 of the family's 1533-position model. The record is from RNAcentral.
AUGAAGCUGGAUUCGCUAGUAAUCGCGCAUCAGCCAUGGCGCGGUGAAUACGUUCCCGGGCCUUGUACACACCGCCCGUCAAGCCAUGGGAGUCGGGAGUGCCUGAAGUUCGUGACCGUUUAGGAGCGACCUAGGGCAAGACUGAUGACUGGGGCUAAGUCGUAACAAGGUAAC